RNAcentral lists this ribosomal RNA (724 nucleotides) under uncultured fungus. RNAcentral's name for it is "SSU rRNA". It matches the Rfam family "Eukaryotic small subunit ribosomal RNA", at positions 332 to 1060 of the family's 1831-position model. Lineage: Eukaryota; Fungi. The record is from RNAcentral.
GAUAGAGGCCUACCAUGGUGGUAACGGGUAACGGGGUGUUAGGGCACGACACCGGAGAGGGAGCCUGAGAAACGGCUACCACAUCCAAGGAUGGCAGCAGGCGCGCAAAUUACCCAAUCCCGACACGGGGAGGUAGUGACAAUAAAUAACAAUACGGGGUUCUUUCGGAUCUCGUAAUUGGAAUGAGUACAAUUUAAAUCUCUUAACGAGGAACAAUUGGAGGGCAAGUCUGGUGCCAGCAGCCGCGGUAAUUCCAGCUCCAAUAGCGUAUAUUAAAGUUGUUGCAGUUAAAAAGCUCGUAGUUGAAUUUCGGGGUUAGUAGGUUGGUCAUGCCUCUGGUAUGUACUGGUCUCACUGAUUCCUCCUUCCUUAUGAACCGUAAUGCCAUUAAUUUGGUGUUGCGGGGAAUUUGGACUGUUACUUUGAAAAAAUUAGAGUGUUUAAAGCAAGCUAACGCUUGAAUACAUUAGCAUGGAAUAAUGAAAUAGGACGUUCGAUCUUAUUUUGUUGGUUUCUAGGAUUGACGUAAUGAUUAAUAGGGAUAGUUGGGGGCAUUAGUAUUCAAUUGUCAGAGGUGAAAUUCUUGGAUUUAUUGAAGACUAACUACUGCGAAAGCAUUUGCCAAGGAUGUUUUCAUUAAUCAAGAACGAAGGUUAGGGGAUCGAAGACGAUCAGAUACCGUCGUAGUCUUAACCAUAAACUAUGCCGACUAGGGAUCGGAUGA